CCUCAGGUUGCUUAGGUAACGGGAAGGAAAAGAACUUCCCUCUGUUCUUGGGCGGAUCUUACAUUGCUUUUGGAAGAGGUAAUGGACUUGGGAAAGAAAGGAGUAUGUGUAUUGAAGGAAUGAUUAGGUGGGAGGAGUCAGACAGGAAGGCUGCAAUAGCCCGUCACUCAACCCUGGCUGCUUUAUCGUUGGGGCUCAGUGAACAGAUUAUCUGUUUUCAUGGUAAGAGGUUGGGGUUCUCUACUUCAGGUGGGCACUGAGAAAGUGAAUUGCUCGCCUUUGUUUAAAAAUAAUGAAAAUGGGCCGGGCGCAUUGCUCAUGCCUGUAAUCCCAGCACUUUGGGAGGCUGAGGCAGGUGGAUCACUUGAGGUCAGGAGUUUGUGACCAGCCUGGCCAACGUGGUGAGAUCCUGUCUAUACUAAAAAUACAAAAAUUAGCCAGGCAUGGUGAUGGUCACCUGUAAUCCUAGCUACUUGGGAGGCUGACACAGGAGAAUCGCUUGAACCCAGGAGGCGCAGGUUGCAGUGAGCCGAGAUCUCGCCACUGCAGUCCAGCCUGGGUGACAGAGCAAGACUCUGUCUCAAAAACAAACAAACAAAAAACCCAAAAAUAAUGAAAAUGUCUGCCCACCCUUCACUAAGUAGACAUAAUGAAAAUGCAUAUCUUGUGCCCUCUUUUGCUUUUAUUCCGUAAUACCCAAGCCCACGUUUUGGAAUUAAGCCCCACACCCUUUGUGUGAAAGCCACGCGGCUCUUCAAAGGACCCCUUUAGGGGGAGCAUUAAGUUUGCCCAAGGAGGCACCCUUCUGGGUCUUCAAGGCCACCUGGCUGCAAUGCAGUCCAAUUCCAGCCUGUGUCUCCCAGAGCACCCCCUGUGCCAGGGUGGCAGGGUCCGAGGGGUGUGUCCACCAUGGCACCAGACACACACCUGUAAUGUGUGUCCAUGUGAAGAGACCAACAAACAGCCUUUGUGUGGGCAACAAGGCUAUUUGUUUUACCUAGGUGCAGGUGAGCUGAGUCCGAAAAGAGAGUCAGCAAAGGGUGGUGGGAUUAUCAUUAGUUCUUACAGGUUUGGGACAGGCGACGGAGUUAGGAGCAAUGUUUUGCAGGCAAGGGGUGGAUCUCACAAAGUACAUUCUCAAAGUGAAUGACUCCAGCUUCCUCUGGAAGUAAAGCAGCCUUGAGAAGAGUUUUUAUCAAGGAGGCACGAAUGAUGGAGGACCCUUGCGUAGUGAGGAAACCUCUUUCUGCCCAUGUAACAGCAUGGUGGUGCAGGAUAUGGAAGGCAUAUUUACAGUCAGUAUAAAUAUUGACGUGUAGUCCCUUUGCAAGAGUGAGGGCCUGAAUUAAGGCAAUGAGUUCGGCUUACUGAGAGGUAGUAGAAGGGGGCAGAGUGGUAGCCUCAAUGAUAGAUGUGGAAAUACCAUAACAUAGCCUGCCUUUGCUGGUGAGUUGCAAUCAGGACUGGUGGAACUGCCAUCAAUAAACCAAGUGUGAUCAGGAUGAGGAACAGGAAAGAAGGAAAUAUGGGGAAAUGGAGUGAAUGUUAGGUGGAUCAGAGAGAUACAGUCAAGGGAGUGGGGGCCAGCCUAAAACAGUAAGGUCAAGUUGGACAGAAAGGCUAUAGGACAUGGUCCCAGCUCUUGUGUAAGGAUUUUGAUCACAUGGCCCUGUACUUUGGCUGUGUGAAAUGAAAAGGGUUGGGAUGAAUUAGGGAGAGCUAGUGUGGGGGCAGCUUCUAGGGCUGUUUUUAAGGAAUGGAAAGAGGAGUGGCAAAAGGAUUUAGGAUCUGUGGGGUCAGCUAGCUUUGCUUUUGUGACUUUACAUAAUGGUUUAGUCAGGAUGGUGAAACUAGGUAUCCAAAGGCGGAAGUACCUAACCAUGCCUAGGAAGGAAAGGAGUUGUUAUUUUGUAGAAGGGGUUCAGGUUUGGGAGAUUAGCCAGACAUGAUCAGCAGGGAGAGCACGUGUGUUUUCAUGAAGAAUUACGCCGAGACAGGUGACAGAUGAGGAAGAAAUUUGGGCUUGACUGAAGUAAUGGGGGCAGUCCCUGAAGCCUUGUGGCAGUACAGCCCAGGUAAGUUGCUGAGGCUGAUGGGUGUCAAGGUCAGUCCAAGUGAAAGCGAAGAGAGGCUGGGAUGAAGGGCGCAAAGGAAUAGUAAAGAAAGCUUGUUUGAGAUCCAGAACAGAAUAACGGGUUGUGCAGGGAGGUAUUGAGGAUAGGAGAGUAUAUGGGUUUGGCACCACGGCGUGGAUAGGCAAGACAAUUUGGUUGAUAAGGCGUAGAUCCUGAACUAACCUGUAAGGCUUGUCUGGUUUUUGGACAGGUGAAAUGGGGGAAUUGUAAGGAGAGUUUAUAGGCUUUAAAAGGCCAUGCUGUAACAGGUGAGUGAUAACAGGCUUUAAUCCUUUUAAAGCCUGCUGUGGGAUGGGAUAUUGGCUUUGAGUGGGGUAAGGGUGAUUAGGUUUUUAUGAGAUGGUAAGGGUUGCAUGAUCGUCGCCAAGGAGGGAAUAGAGGUGUCCUAUACUUGUGGAUUAAGGUGGGAAGAUACAAGGGGAGGAUGGGAAGGAGGCUUUGAACUGGGGAAAAGGGCAGCAAUGAGGUGUAGCUGUAGCCAAGGAAUAGUCAGGGAAGCAGAUAAUUUAGUUAAAAUGCCUCAACCUAAUAAGGGAACUGGGCAGGUGGGGAUAACUAAAAAGGAGUGUUUAAAAGAGCAUUGUACAAGUUGACACCAGAGUUGGGGAGUUUUAAGAGGUUUAGAAGCCUGGCUGUCAAUACCCACAACAGUUAUGGAGGCAAGGGAAACAGACCUUUGAAAAGAAGGUAAGGUGGAGUUCGUAGCCUCCGUACUAAUUUAGAAGGGGACAGACUUACCUUCCACUGUAAGAGUUACCCAAAGCGUCUGUGAUGGUCCAGGAAGCUUCUGAGGCGAUGGGGCAGCGUCAGUCUUCAGCCGCUAAGCCGAGAAGAUCUGGGAAGGAGUCAGUCAGAGAGCCUUGGGCCAGAGCUCCAGGGGCUCUGGGAGUGGCUGCUGGGCGAGUUGGACAGUCUGAU
Molecule: long non-coding RNA, 3053 nt
Filed under: Papio anubis (olive baboon)
Lineage: Eukaryota; Metazoa; Chordata; Mammalia; Primates; Cercopithecidae
Description: lncRNA (ENSPANG00000051201.1)
Source: RNAcentral